Long non-coding RNA from Daphnia pulicaria, 613 nucleotides. RefSeq lists it as uncharacterized. The record is from RefSeq and is a predicted model, not a curated record. The transcript has 5 exons. Lineage: Eukaryota; Metazoa; Arthropoda; Branchiopoda; Diplostraca; Daphniidae.
CGACGUCAGUGCAUUGUUAAAAGUAGUCGUCAAAGUGUCGAACUAGAAGUUAAUAAUAAAUUGAAACCUUCUAGGUUAUCACUUCUCAGCUUACAGUAAUGGCACACUGCCAAUGUGUGUAGUUGCAUGUAGAGGUCAUUCAUGGUCCUGUUAAAGCACAAACCAAGCCCCACGAGUACUUUUUGGAGGCCAGCUUUCACACAUCCUGUGAAACCACUCUUUACAUCCCGUACACUCUAUGGUGUGCCAAGCCUGUGCUCUUGUGGAAUUCAGUGGCUGAUACUCUAUUCUUCGACAACUGCAGGAAUGCUGACAUGACUUUACUUAACAGGGAUUUUUUCAAAUGUUGCCUCAUGACGCCCCUGUUAUAGAUGGACUGUGAUGGAUCUUCGCCCAAUGCUAGAGUUAUGGCAUUUGCAAUCGCAUGAAGGCCACAAUCAUUCGGCAAUUGCUGCUGACAUCCAACACUUUGAUCCUCCCAAACUAUCAUAAAUGGAAACCGAAUCUUCUCCUUUCGAUUUGGAUGCCACAACCCAAUGCCCCUUGCCAUCGUGGAUUAUUUGUAUCCAUUUUUCACUAGUAGCAGCGGGAAAUUCCAGAUCCCAGCCGAGAG